GGAUCAUCACUGAUUCUUUAACCUGGCAAAGUGGCGCAAGCUGCUUUGCCGCCAAGGUGUGGCUCCGCACCUUGUUCAACUAAACUGGGCUACCAUUUUACACACGGUUGCAUCUGUCGGGGCUUCGGCGCCGACAAAUCUUUUUACACACGCUGAUCUGUAGUAUUUGUAUGGAUAAUGACUGGUAAUGCGGUCGUAUAAUCAAAAAACAACUUUUGGCAACGGAUCUCUUGGUUCUCCCAUCGAUGAAGAACGCAGCGAAACGCGAUAGGUAAUGUGAAUUGCAGAAUGUGAAUCAUCGAAUCUUUGAACGCACCUUGCGCUCUCCUGGACUUACAUCCGGAGAGCAUGCCUGUCUGAGGGCCGCGAAUUUCUUCGAGCGCCAGCUUUUUUCAAUCUGAAAGAAGUUGACGGAUCGGUUCUGAGGGCUGCCAUUUGCACUGGCUCCCUCGAAAUACAUCAGCUGGACUGCACAUGCUAGAGGAAGGAUAUACGUCCCUCUCCCUCCGGAUUUUGAUAAUUAUCAAAGAACGGACGUGAUGGAAACUUCUUAUCUCGAAUAUGGUGGCUGGCUUUAACCCGCCCCACGGCGUCAUAUGCCGAGGGGAUUUUUAAUUCAAACGGCCUCAGAUCAGGUAGGACUACCCGCUGAAC
RNAcentral lists this ribosomal RNA (654 nucleotides) under Farysia sp. BI238. RNAcentral's name for it is "eukaryotic LSU rRNA". The stretch from base 211 to 366 matches the Rfam family "5.8S ribosomal RNA". The record is from RNAcentral. Lineage: Eukaryota; Fungi; Basidiomycota; Ustilaginomycetes; Ustilaginales; Ustilaginaceae.